This 1649-nucleotide ribosomal RNA is filed under the name Salmonella enterica. RNAcentral describes it as "partial 23S ribosomal RNA". It matches the Rfam family "Bacterial large subunit ribosomal RNA", at positions 1171 to 2802 of the family's 2925-position model. Lineage: Bacteria; Pseudomonadati; Pseudomonadota; Gammaproteobacteria; Enterobacterales; Enterobacteriaceae. The record is from RNAcentral.
UGUAACGGGGCUAAACCAUGCACCGAAGCUGCGGCAGCGACGCUGAUGCGUUGUUGGGUAGGGGAGCGUUCUGUAAGCCUGCGAAGGUGGCCUGUGAGGGUUGCUGGAGGUAUCAGAAGUGCGAAUGCUGACAUAAGUAACGAUAAAGCGGGUGAAAAGCCCGCUCGCCGGAAGACCAAGGGUUCCUGUCCAACGUUAAUCGGGGCAGGGUGAGUCGACCCCUAAGGCGAGGCCGAAAGGCGUAGUCGAUGGGAAACGGGUUAAUAUUCCCGUACUUGGUGUUACUGCGAAGGGGGGACGGAGAAGGCUAUGUUGGCCGGGCGACGGUUGUCCCGGUUUAAGCGUGUAGGUGUGUGUUCCAGGUAAAUCCGGUUCACUUUAACACUGAGGCGUGAUGACGAGGCACUACGGUGCUGAAGCAACAAAUGCCCUGCUUCCAGGAAAAGCCUCUAAGCAUCAGGUAACAUCAAAUCGUACCCCAAACCGACACAGGUGGUCAGGUAGAGAAUACCAAGGCGCUUGAGAGAACUCGGGUGAAGGAACUAGGCAAAAUGGUGCCGUAACUUCGGGAGAAGGCACGCUGACACGUAGGUGAAGUGAUUUACUCAUGGAGCUGAAGUCAGUCGAAGAUACCAGCUGGCUGCAACUGUUUAUUAAAAACACAGCACUGUGCAAACACGAAAGUGGACGUAUACGGUGUGACGCCUGCCCGGUGCCGGAAGGUUAAUUGAUGGGGUCAGCGCAAGCGAAGCUCCUGAUCGAAGCCCCGGUAAACGGCGGCCGUAACUAUAACGGUCCUAAGGUAGCGAAAUUCCUUGUCGGGUAAGUUCCGACCUGCACGAAUGGCGUAAUGAUGGCCAGGCUGUCUCCACCCGAGACUCAGUGAAAUUGAACUCGCUGUGAAGAUGCAGUGUACCCGCGGCAAGACGGAAAGACCCCGUGAACCUUUACUAUAGCUUGACACUGAACAUUGAGCCUUGAUGUGUAGGAUAGGUGGGAGGCUUUGAAGUGUGGACGCCAGUCUGCAUGGAGCCGACCUUGAAAUACCACCCUUUAAUGUUUGAUGUUCUAACGUGGACCCGUGAUCCGGGUUGCGGACAGUGUCUGGUGGGUAGUUUGACUGGGGCGGUCUCCUCCUAAAGAGUAACGGAGGAGCACGAAGGUUGGCUAAUCCUGGUCGGACAUCAGGAGGUUAGUGCAAUGGCAUAAGCCAGCUUGACUGCGAGCGUGACGGCGCGAGCAGGUGCGAAAGCAGGUCAUAGUGAUCCGGUGGUUCUGAAUGGAAGGGCCAUCGCUCAACGGAUAAAAGGUACUCCGGGGAUAACAGGCUGAUACCGCCCAAGAGUUCAUAUCGACGGCGGUGUUUGGCACCUCGAUGUCGGCUCAUCACAUCCUGGGGCUGAAGUAGGUCCCAAGGGUAUGGCUGUUCGCCAUUUAAAGUGGUACGCGAGCUGGGUUUAGAACGUCGUGAGACAGUUCGGUCCCUAUCUGCCGUGGGCGCUGGAGAACUGAGGGGGGCUGCUCCUAGUACGAGAGGACCGGAGUGGACGCAUCACUGGUGUUCGGGUUGUCAUGCCAAUGGCACUGCCCGGUAGCUAAAUGCGGAAGAGAUAAGUGCUGAAAGCAUCUAAGCACGAAACUUGCCCCGA